ACUCCUACGGGAGGCAGCAGUGGGGAAUCUUGGACAAUGGGGGCAACCCUGAUCCAGCCAUGCCGCGUGAGUGAUGAAGGCCUUAGGGUCGUAAAGCUCUUUCGCCUGUGAUGAUAAUGACAGUAGCAGGUAAAGAAACCCCGGCUAACUCCGUGCCAGCAGCCGCGGUAAUACGGAGGGGUUAGCGUUGUUCGGAAUUACUGGGCGUAAAGCGCGCGUAGGCGGAUUAGUCAGUUAGAGGUGAAAUCCCAGGGCUCAACCCUGGAACUGCCUUUAAUACUGCUAGUCUUGAGUUCGAGAGAGGUGAGUGGAAUUCCGAGUGUAGAGGUGAAAUUCGUAGAUAUUCGGAGGAACACCAGUGGCGAAGGCGGCUCACUGGCUCGAUACUGACGCUGAGGUGCGAAAGUGUGGGAGCAAACAGGAUUAGAUA
This 430-nucleotide ribosomal RNA is filed under the name uncultured bacterium. Its description in RNAcentral is "bacterial SSU rRNA". It matches the Rfam family "Bacterial small subunit ribosomal RNA", at positions 335 to 784 of the family's 1533-position model. The record is from RNAcentral.